This 491-nucleotide ribosomal RNA is filed under the name uncultured bacterium. RNAcentral describes it as "partial 16S ribosomal RNA". It matches the Rfam family "Bacterial small subunit ribosomal RNA", at positions 30 to 507 of the family's 1533-position model. The record is from RNAcentral.
AGUGAACGCUGGCGGUAGGCCUAACACAUGCCAGUCGAACGGCAGCACAGUAAGAGCUUGCUCUUACGGGUGGCGAGUGGCGGACGGGUGAGGAAUACAUCGGAAUCUACUUUUUCGUGGGGGAUAACGUAGGGAAACUUACGCUAAUACCGCAUACGACCUACGGGUGAAAGCAGGGGAUCUUCGGACCUUGCGCGAUUGAAUGAGCCGAUGUCGGAUUAGCUAGUUGGCGGGGUAAAGGCCCACCAAGGCGACGAUCCGUAGCUGGUCUGAGAGGAUGAUCACGCCCGGAGGAAAUGGACCACGGCCCGGACUCUGAGGGGAGGCAGAGGUGGGGAAUAUAGGAAGAGGGGGGGAAGCCUGAACCAGCCAAACCGGGGGGGUGAAGAAGGCCUGCGGGUGGGAAGGCCCUUUUGUUGGGAAAAAAAGCCGGCAGGUGAAACCCCGGCUGUUUGAAGGGAACCCAAAAAAAAGCCACGGCUAACUUUGGG